This 528-nucleotide ribosomal RNA is filed under the name uncultured fungus. RNAcentral describes it as "eukaryotic LSU rRNA". The stretch from base 171 to 324 matches the Rfam family "5.8S ribosomal RNA". Lineage: Eukaryota; Fungi. The record is from RNAcentral.
UCCGUAGGUGAACCUGCGGAGGGAUCAUUACUGAGUUUUUAACUCUCCAAACCAUGUGAACUUACCACUGUUGCCUCGGUGGUCGGUGCUGGAAACAGUGCUGCCACCGGUGGACUACUAAACUCUUGUUAAUUUUUGUCAAAUCUGAAUCAAACUAAGAAAUAAGUUAAAACUUUCAACAACGGAUCUCUUGGUUCUGGCAUCGAUGAAGAACGCAGCGAAAUGCGAUAAGUAAUGUGAAUUGCAGAAUUCAGUGAAUCAUCGAAUCUUUGAACGCACAUUGCGCCCGCCAGCACUCUGGCGGGCAUGCCUGUUCGAGCGUCAUUUCAACCAUCAGGCCCCCCGGGGGGCCUGUGCUGGGGCCCUGCGCUGCCCGCAGGCCCUGAAAACCAGUGGCGGGCUCGCUAGUCACACCGAGCGCAGUAGCACAUCUCGCUCAGGGCGUGCGGCGGGCUCCUGCCGUGAAACCCCCCCACUGUAACCCCAAAGGUUGACCUCGGAUCAGGUAGGAAUACCCGCUGAACUUAA